UCUGGUGUUCACAGUAGGAAGAAUUAACAUCAUUAAAAUUUCCAGUGUCAUACAUAUAUCAGAUAGCUACAACAAAUAUCACAAAAAUUUAUAUGGAAGUACUAAAAAAACAACAACACAAAAAACAAACCUACAAACACACACACACAAAUAAUACAAACAAAAUAAACCAAACCAAAGCCAUGGUGAUCUUGAAAAGGAACCACAAACUUGGAGGAAUCAUGCUAACUCAUAUCAAACAAUACUACAAUGCCAGAGUAAUAAAUAGAGCAUGGUACUGGCAUAAAAAAAGACACAUGGAUCAUUGGAACAGAAUAAAAAGCCCAGAAAUAAACCCAUGCAUUUAUGGUCAAUUAAUACCUGACAAAGGAUACAAGAACAUACAAUUGGGUACAGAUAAUCCAUUCAAUAAUUGCUGUUGGGAAAAUUAGACAGAUCUGUAUAAAUUUAAAUGAUAGCAGACUACUUUCCUACACCAUAUAGAAGAAUAAAUGAAGAAUGGAUUAAAGACUUGAAUGUGAGAUUUGAAACCAUAAAAAUUCUAGAAGAAAAUAAAGGCAAUAAAUUCUCAUAGUAAUGUAUUUUAUUCUGAUAUAUCUAUUUGGGCAAGGGAAGCAAAAGAAAAAGUAAACAAAUGGGACUACAUCAAAUUAAAAAUUUGUUGCACAACCAAGGAAACCAUGAACAAAAUGAAAAGACAACCCACUGAAAGGGAGAACAUAUUUACCAAUGAUACAUCUGAUAAGGGCUAAAUAUCCAAAAUUUACAAAGAACUAAUAAAAUUCAACAUCAUAAAAAGCCCAAACAACACAAUUGAAAAAUGAGCAAAGGACCUAAAUAGACACUUCUCCAAUGAGGACCUGCAGAUGACCAUUACACGAAUAAAUAAAAAGAUGCUGAGCAUCACUAAUCAUUACAGAAAUAGAAAUGAAAAUCAGAGUGAGGAAUCACCUCCCAUUUGUCAGAAUGGCUAUCAUCAAUAAAUCAAUAAACAUCAAGUGCUGGUGAGGAUGUGGAGAAAAGGGAACCCUCGUGUCCUCUUGGAGGGAAUGCAGAUUGGUGCAACCACUGUGGAAAGCAGUAUGAUGCUUCCUCCAAAAUUAAAAAUACAGCUGCCUUAUGACCUAGCAUUUCCACUUCUGAGAAUAUAUCUGCAGAAACCUGAAACACUGGUCUGAAAGGGUAUAUGCACCCCUAUGUUCAUUGCAGCAUUAUUUACAACAGCGAAGAUUUCACAGCAGCCCAAGUACCCAGCAGCAGAUAAGCAGAGACAAAGCUCUGGUACAUUAUACACAACAGAAUACUACUCACCCGCACACCCAAAAAGGAAAUCUUAUCUUUUGGAACAGCAUGGAUGGAGCUGAAAAAUAGCACAUUGUGACACAUGCUACAACCUGGAUGCACCCUGAAGACAUGACGCUCAGGGAAAUAAGCCAAUCACAGAAAGAAAAAUACUGUGUGAUCACUCUCGCAAGAGGUCCCUGGAGCCAUCAGAGUCAUAGAGACAAAGGUGGCUCCAAUUUUCCUGUCAACUUGACUUGGAGACAAAAAAAAGUAACUCUGUUUUCCCUGAAAAGCAUCUUGUUAUUUGAAGCUUCCACACAGCUCAUGGGGGAAGAGGAGUCUAAGAUUCUCAGCGAACCAGAG
Molecule: long non-coding RNA, 1647 nt
Organism: Eptesicus fuscus (big brown bat)
Lineage: Eukaryota; Metazoa; Chordata; Mammalia; Chiroptera; Vespertilionidae
Exons: 4
Source: RefSeq, a predicted model, not a curated record